GUGUCAGCAGCCGCGGUAAGACAGAGGGUGCAAACGUUGUUCGGAAUUACUGGGCGUAAAGCGCGUGUAGGCGGCUAUGUAAGUCGGGCGUGAAAUCCCACGGCUCAACCGUGGAAGUGCACCCGAAACUGCGUAGCUAGAGUCCUGGAGAGGAAGGUGGAAUGCUUGGUGUAGAGGUGAAAUUCGUAGAUAUCAAGCGGAACACCGGUGGCGAAGGCGGCCUUCUGGACAGUGACUGACGCUGAGACGCGAAAGCGUGGGGAGCAAACAGGAUUAGAAACCCCCGUAGUCC
RNAcentral lists this ribosomal RNA (292 nucleotides) under uncultured bacterium. RNAcentral's name for it is "partial 16S ribosomal RNA". It matches the Rfam family "Bacterial small subunit ribosomal RNA", at positions 505 to 796 of the family's 1533-position model. The record is from RNAcentral.